GAUUCGUUUCUUACUUCCAGAGAUUUUAUAUUCGGUUUAUAAAGAUUAUUUAAAUAGGUAGUAAAGGGGCCUAUAGCUCAGCUGGCUAGAGCGCUCGACUGAUAAUCGUGAGGUCUCAGGUUCAAGUCCUGAUAGGCCCACCAUUAAAUAAUCUAGUAAAGAUUAAUUUAGGUUGGGGAAUUAGCUCAGCUGGGAGAGCGCCUGCUUUGCACGCAGGAGGUCAGCGGUUCGAUCCCGCUAUUCUCCACCACCUAUAACUAAUAAGUUCAUGUGAUUUAAAAAGUUAAAUAUAAGUUCAAUAGUAGAUUGAAUUUAUAUUUGAUUUUCAAAAUCAAAACGAUAUUUAAAAAUAUAAUGUUAAAGUCUUUAAUUUUUUCGUAAGAAUUAAAUAAUAGAUAUAAAAAGAGAUUUUUAUAUAGAUUAGAUAAUUUUAAACAAAAAAAAUUUCAUAUCUAAGAAAUUAGAUAGAACACAACAUUGUUUUAUUGGAUAUAUUUUAAGUAAUAUGUUUAAUAAGAUAGUAGCCAAAGAAUAUUAUCAAAAAUGCGAUAGAGUUUAACUCUAUUUAUUAAUAAGCUAUUAAGGGCUAAUGGUGGAUGCCUUGGC
RNAcentral lists this transfer RNA (606 nucleotides) under uncultured Campylobacterota bacterium. RNAcentral describes it as "uncultured Epsilonproteobacteria bacterium partial 16S-23S ribosomal RNA intergenic spacer". The stretch from base 67 to 140 matches the Rfam family "tRNA". The record is from RNAcentral. Lineage: Bacteria; Pseudomonadati; Campylobacterota.